CUGAUUAUUCUCCAGGAGGCUCUUCUAGCUCCAAUCACAUUCUUAUAUGUAACAGAUAGGAGGUUUCUUUCUUCAGCUGUCAGCUCCACAUCCAUCCCUGCUAAUUUCUUCACUGACUCCACCAUUUCUAUAAGGGAAAAGCAAAAUCCCGGGUCCCUCAGACAAAAGGGCGGGUGGAGGAGGAGAAGCCGAGAGUCCUGCUCCGGCGCCGCCGGAGCACCGCCUGCCUCAGCCGACCAGCGCCGUCGACUACUGGGCCUAGCCCAGACGAGAGGAGGGAAAGGCCGCAGAGGCCGCGAGGAUGCUGCGGAGGCGCGGGCGGCCGGCUGCCGCCUAGUUGUGCAGCCCAGACCAAGGAAAGAGAAGUGGGAGGAGCGGGGAGCUCGGCGUCCCGCGUCCUCCGCGGCUCAGGACGACUACGCUCGGCACGUCCGGGACCCUCCGGCCGUGGCGGUUGCAGCGCCAAAAGCUCGGGCCUCAGCCCCUGACGCUGUGGUGACUCCGCCGCGCCUCGCCGUCGCCCCUGUCCCCGUCCUGCCCGCCGCCUCCGCCGCUGGGGACAUGUCCAACCCCGGAAGCCGGAGGAACGGGCCCGUCAAGCUGCACCUGACAGGUAUAUUGAAAAGUCUGAUUCAGUUACAAUCAGUGUAUGGAAUCACAAGAAGAUCCAUAAGAAACAAGGUGCUGGAUUUCUCCGUUGUGUUCAUCUUUUUCCAGUGCCAUCAACCACCUCAAAGACACUGGUUAUCAGAGGUUGGAUUUAUGCAAACCUGGGCCAAAGGACAGUUAGAAGACGUGCUGAUGGGCCCGUGCAACAGUUGCUGGUAAAUGGCUGAUUAAAAAGCACAGAAAGCCGAACAAGACCCAACCAAAUUUGGUAAUUCAUCCGAUUCAAAAUUGUUUUGGUUAAAUCAAAAAUACAAGUACA
RNAcentral lists this long non-coding RNA (928 nucleotides) under Homo sapiens (human). RNAcentral's name for it is "non-protein coding lnc-RNF135-1:28". Lineage: Eukaryota; Metazoa; Chordata; Mammalia; Primates; Hominidae. The record is from RNAcentral.